AUUUUUUUUUUGGCAAAAAUCAUAAGAAUCCAAGAUGGCAGAUCCAAGAUGAGGGACCCGAGAAGAUGGCGGAAAUUCUUACCAAAAAAGGAUUAUAAACGUUUUUAUGGCCUUUUUGCAUUGUGAAGCCGUUAAAAGGUUUAUUCUGACAUAUCUCAAUGAUGUAAGAUGAUUUAAACCUUAUAUUUGAUAAUAUAGGCAAAAUUUGAAAUAAUAGCUUAAGAUUGUAUUCAUCUUUAUCUGUACUCUAUAUCAACCCCGCGGAAAAUAUUAUCAUCCAUAUAGCAGAUUUUACUGUUGGAUGAUUGAAAAUGUAAUUCAAGUUCGAAAAUUAAAAGUACACCACCAAUUUUUUUCGGCAGUAAAAGAUUCGUAGCACUAACCCAGAGACUUAAACUAUCGGCUCAUUCCUUUGGAGUCUCCUCAGCUGGUGCCUCAUCUUGCGCAGGCGCGGUAUCUUGUUCUACUGGGGCCUCGCUUGCAGGCUGGUCUUUCGGAGCGUCUGGCCCAGUGUCUGCUGGUGGGCCGCCAUCUUCUGCUGGUUGGUUUUCUGUGAAGCAAACGAAGGAAUGAAGUCAGUGCCUCAUCAACGGAUGGCAUCAAGAUGAUGACAAGGACCCUGACUAUUUGGUCCUUUAUGUGUUGAUUUGUAGCUUGCUUUCUUUCGCUUCUCCCCCACCCCCCUUAAGAAUUGUUUGCCAAACAGUUUACGGCUCCUCUGAUAUUGAAGCUUGAAGAUAACGUCACAGAAACUGAAAUAAAAUCAUUCAAAAAAAUCUGUGAGAAGCGCACUUUCUGAAAUACAACAUUUAGUUCUAUUUACUUUUAUUACAGCCUCACGAAUAUCACCAAUAUCUUGAUAUGAUGUAUUUUCGGCGGCAAACAGGCCUCAAAAUUUUAUUUUUGUCAAUCGAAAACUAUUCUAUCAAAAAUAGUUUUAGCGAAGAAAAACAAAAAGUUUAUUUCUUUUCAUAAACAGCACGACUAAACUAUUAUGUAUGACCAUGCGCGCAGAUGCUGACCAACAUCCGACGAUUGCAGGCUCUUCUUAGGGGAAACCACUAUAACUGUGUUACCCUUAUUUUUGUCAUUCCACGCCAUUAUGUAUAUUCUACUUUUUUCUCCCCUUUAGAUCCUCUCUCCACUGACAACAAUCCCCCCCUUUUUUUCAUCCACCCACCCUAGAUGCCAUGGUACGAAGACCCGCUUUUAACCAAAAACGCAUCACUAUCCCGGACACUCCUUAUAGUCCAACUUCUACACUUACUGUAGCAUUAUCCCCAUAUUUACCCUCCAGUCCUUACCCCUGCCACGCACCUCUACCCGUAUCACAACCAUUAUCCCCCUAUAUGUCCCCCUUCUCCCCAGGUGCCAUGGUACGAAUACCCGCUUUUAACCAAAACCCCAUAUCGCGUGAUUUAGACCUGCAAAGAUGUCUGGUUCUGUUUUUCUCUUGCUCGUAAUCCUAUGCACGUCUUCAGAAUGUCUAAAUGGUUAAAUUAAGUGUAUUUUUUUCUUCUUUCCUUCUUUCGUUUUUAGAGCAAGCUACCAACAUACUGACAGCAAUGUUUCAUUUAUAGAAUUUAUGUGAUUAUGAUGACUUGGGAGGCACAAUUCUAAUUGAAGCAGAUGAAUUGCAAAUUUCAUAUGGAAUAAAAGAAUGGACUACCUUAAUGACUUUCACCUCGUAAUUAUGCUGAAAACUGACACAAAACAAGUAAAGUUAAAGGUGCUUUCCAAUUUUGCCAGUAUAGACGUUAACAAAUAAUGAAAUUAUUAGUAUCUGUGCACAACAUGGUGGCAUCAUUUGUGUGGUUUUAUUACUCGAUAUUCCAUAAUAAUGAAGUAUUCAAUAUUCACGAGAAGUAUCUAAGUGUUCAUUUAGGCGACAAUAUCUUCAAAAAUAUUUGUCCGAUUUCUGGGAAAUGAAAGGGUUGUUUAGAGGAGGGUAUGAUGAUUGUAUGUGAUUCAGAACAACUUGUGCUUGAUAUGAAACCGCGAACAGUUCCACCAACAAUCAUACACUAGAAAAUUGAUACCACAUACCACAAACAAUUCAAGAUCUUUCUCCGAUUUUCCUAUAAAUGGCACCCAUAAAAGUGAUCACAAUAUGGGGGUAGUGGUUUUAUUUCCCAGAUACCUACCUGGUAUAUUCAGUGCAAGCAUUUCUAGUGGUACAAUCUUUGGUUUAAUUUAGAGCCAAGCGGGAACGAUAUGUAAGUACCCAUUAUAUUGUUCAUCAGGCUUAGUGUCCGUUGGUGGGUCAUAUACGUUUUCGUAUGCGAGAUUAUCAUCUACAAUGUACAAUCUACGAGUUUAUUACAAAUCUUCUGGAAAUGCAACAGCUAGAGAGAUCUAUUUUACAGGAACGCCCACUCUAGGUUAGAGAGCAUGAGGCUCUAACAAUUUGGUCUUUAUGCCUUGACUGCAUGUAGCUUGUUUAGGAUAAUUAUGCAAUUUAUGUUCUACUUUAUUCCAUGAUUAGAGUUCAAAUAUUAUUGUAAGCUCUACCAGGGCCACAAAGGCACAUUUAUGCAUGUAUCUUUUCUCCCACGCGCUUUUGAGGUAAAAUUCCUAAUUUUAGAUUCAAUUAAUUAUAUUUCACUUUACGAUCGUUUUACAAUAAAAUCACCAUAAUCAUCGAUUUGGUUUUCCGUGGUUUUCCGUAUUUUCGACCCGUAAAAUUCGCCGCUCAAUUUUCCCAACUUUGGCUGGCCCAGUGGCAUAUAAAGUUUGGAACUCCUUCCCAGGCCGCUCGCGCUGGUCAUAGUUACACCGUAGUUGUAAAUAAGUUUAUCCGAACGGAAAAGUACGGAUUUCUAUCAUAGUAUCCAAUCAUAAACUAUAGAAGAAAGACUGCCAUAGUGCAGAGCUCCAGACAGUCGCACUCAAAUAACGGAGAUAUCAUUCUCGAAAUAUGAUGUUUUGUCCAUAUCGGCCACGGUAUAUAACCAUAGUCGGGUCGCCUAUGGCUAGCCCCACUAAACCCCAUACUUGAAGCCGAAGUGCACUUCUGUUCAAACAUACCUUGGCGCUGAUUGGCUAAUCUAAACCAUGUUGCAUUCCUAAGUAUUCCUUUGAGAACUGAACAAGGAAGGGAUGUCUAGAGGUCAGAGACUUAGCUCCAAAACGCCAAUUCUCGAGUAGAAAGGAAUUAGGGGCGAGCGUGAAAUGCGCCAGGAAUAAAGACCAAAAACCCGUU
This is a long non-coding RNA of Nematostella vectensis (starlet sea anemone), 3202 nucleotides long. RefSeq lists it as uncharacterized. Lineage: Eukaryota; Metazoa; Cnidaria; Anthozoa; Actiniaria; Edwardsiidae. The transcript has 2 exons. The record is from RefSeq and is a predicted model, not a curated record.